RNAcentral lists this long non-coding RNA (751 nucleotides) under Malus domestica (apple). Its description in RNAcentral is "long non-coding RNA (MDOM_LNC002693)". The record is from RNAcentral. Lineage: Eukaryota; Viridiplantae; Streptophyta; Magnoliopsida; Rosales; Rosaceae.
AAUAAAAAUAAAAUAUAAGCAAUCAGAAAUAACAAUCCCCGGCGACACGGCGCCAAAAAUUUGGUAGGAAUUAUAACGCACCACAAAGUAGCACACAAUAAUCCUAUUAAUUUUCCUUAUUAACACUAAGAUUUGUCAAUUGUAGCAUAUGAAAUUAAGGGUCUUUCCCGCAGAAGAUUGUUUUAUCCAAAUACUUAAAAUGUCACAAAAACGGGUGGCUGUCUCCACUGACCAGCCACCAAACAAUAAUUAUUAGACUAACUUAUACUUAUCCAAAUGCAACGAAAUUUUAUACACAUAAACUAGACACACCAAGCUAUGCUCACACAAAGUUUUGGGAUUUUUGGAGUUGAUUUGCUAUUUAAAUUAAAUCGUACAAAAACAUUACAGAAACCGAUUUUAAAUAAUACCAAUAGAUUUUAAUUCACAAGUUAAGAAAAUGAGUUAGGGGACAUGCUUUCCACCACCAAAUAAUCAUGCAAGUAUGUUAUGUUUCAUUCAAAUCCCUUUUAUUUCCGGAUGAAGAUGCUCAAGUUGGCUCAAUGUUAGAACACAACCUAUUACUAUUUCUUACGUAGUAUGUUAAGAGAAUGGUGUUUUCAACUUAACUUAGUCCCUAGCAUGCAAUCUAGAAUGGCGUGUUCAUAGAUUUAACAAGUAGAAAUCAUUAAGAAUGAAAAGAGUUUGAGUCAUCACAAGGCAUCGUAAGUACUGGCGUUGUCUUACUUAUCCUAGAAAUCGGUUCACAUGU